UCUUCAUCUCAUUUCUGAUUUCUUAUUAUUUUACUUUGACUCUCAAUGUCAUUUGGUCAACACAUAUGGAUUGGUACAUUUGAUUUCACCUCAUGCACUUUAUUCUUUCCAUUUCUUUUUUCCAUUAUUCAUCUCUUUCUUCUUAUUCUUCUUUUUUUCUUUUUGAUCAAUGAGUUGAAGGUUGAUGAGUUAGUAUUGAUUAGGGAGGCUUAAUCU
This 216-nucleotide long non-coding RNA is filed under the name Lathyrus oleraceus (garden pea). RNAcentral describes it as "Pisum sativum (pea) long non-coding RNA (PSAT_LNC028743)". Lineage: Eukaryota; Viridiplantae; Streptophyta; Magnoliopsida; Fabales; Fabaceae. The record is from RNAcentral.